Molecule: ribosomal RNA, 429 nt
Filed under: Chloroflexota bacterium
Lineage: Bacteria; Bacillati; Chloroflexota
Description: Chloroflexi bacterium partial 16S ribosomal RNA
Rfam family: Bacterial small subunit ribosomal RNA
Source: RNAcentral
UGGGGAAUAUUGCACAAUGGGCGCAAGCCUGAUGCAGCCAUGCCGCGUGUAUGAAGAUGGCCUUCGGGUUGUAAAGUACUUUCAGCGGGGAGGAAGGGAGUAAAGUUAAUACCUUUGCUCAUUGACGUUACCCGCAGAAGAAGCACCGGCUAACUCCGUGCCAGCAGCCGCGGUAAUACGGAGGGUGCAAGCGUUAAUCGGAAUUACUGGGCGUAAAGCGCACGCCGGCGGUUUGUGAAGUCAGAUGUGAAAUCCCCGGGCUCAACCUGGGAACUGCAUCUGAUACUGGUAGGCUUGAGUCUCGUAGAGGGGGGUAGAAUUCCAGGUGUAGCGGUGAAAUGCGUAGAGAUCUGGAGGAAUACCGGUGGCGAAGGCGGCCCCCUGGACGAAGACUGACGCUCAGGUGCGAAAGCGUGGGGAGCAAACAGG